RNAcentral lists this ribosomal RNA (482 nucleotides) under Dendroctonus frontalis (southern pine beetle). Its description in RNAcentral is "eukaryotic LSU rRNA". The stretch from base 1 to 90 matches the Rfam family "5.8S ribosomal RNA", at positions 66 to 154 of the family's 154-position model. Lineage: Eukaryota; Metazoa; Arthropoda; Insecta; Coleoptera; Curculionidae. The record is from RNAcentral.
UGUGAACUGCAGGACACAUGAACAUCGACAUUUCGAACGCACAUUGCGGUCCUCGGAUUCUGUUCCCGGACCACUCCUGGCUGAGGGUCGUGUCAAUUUCAAAGACUGCUCGGUGACGAUGCAGGUGUACUACUACUACUACGUAUGUAUAAACACCCAUGUCGACAUGUCGGAGCGUGGUGGACGUAAUACGCAUUUCUAUUAUUGAACUGCGACGUCUUAAAACACGAUAGUGCCCACUUAAUUGUUUGAUAAUAAGCAAUAUCAGCAAUUAUGGUUGGACGAUAACAACAGCUUGAUUCAUUUAUUACCAAAAUAAAUGUUUAGGUAAAAUUAAGCGAUCGUCGUGUCCGAUACAACGAUUGUUUUUUGACGACGUCAGAUCGCAUUUUUACAAGCAUAAACGUAUGGUAAAAGCAAAAAUGAACUGCUGCUGCUAACUGAUGAUUAUGAUACUAUCGACCUCAGAGCAGGUGAGACUA